RNAcentral lists this ribosomal RNA (294 nucleotides) under uncultured bacterium. RNAcentral describes it as "partial 16S ribosomal RNA". It matches the Rfam family "Bacterial small subunit ribosomal RNA", at positions 333 to 644 of the family's 1533-position model. The record is from RNAcentral.
UAUGUCCUACGGGGGGCAGCAGUGGGGAAUAUUGCACAAUGGGGGAAACCCUGAUGCAGCGACGCCGCGUGAGUGAAGAAGUAUUUCGGUACGUAAAGCUCUAUCAGCAGGGAAGAAAAUGACGGUACCUGACUAAGAAGCCCCGGCUAACUACGUGCCAGCAGCCGCGGUAAUACGUAGGGGGCAAGCGUUAUCCGGAUUUACUGGGUGUAAAGGGAGCGUAGACGGCUGUGCAAGUCUGAAGUGAAAGCCCGUGGCUCAACCGCGGAACUGCUUUGUAAACUGUAGAGCUUG